Long non-coding RNA from Carassius gibelio (silver crucian carp), 412 nucleotides. RefSeq lists it as uncharacterized. The transcript has 3 exons. Lineage: Eukaryota; Metazoa; Chordata; Actinopteri; Cypriniformes; Cyprinidae. The record is from RefSeq and is a predicted model, not a curated record.
UGACAGACUACGCUAUAAAACUCAACUUCCGGUAUAUUCUGAAAAAUAUGUUACAUCGACAGAACACCGUCUCUCGUGCACACGCACGCAGCAGCAAUCAGAGCCGUACGAAAGACUACUUUGUAUUGUUCUUUGAUUGUUGCUGGGUCUGACUCCGAGUCCGCAAGUAGCCUAUCCCAGAAAGCCUCAGUGACGUCUACUUCCUCCGGGCACCGCAGCGAAUGACAGCGACGGGGGAAGCCACUGGCAGCACGUUCAAAAUGUUCUUUAUUGUCAUUGUUAUAAGUAACAACGAGAUCACAUCAGACCAUCACGUGCCAUCUCUGAGCCAUACUCUAUUCUCCCUGAUUGUGUUUUAGUAUUCUAGCGGAAUAUAUUGUUUAAAUUAAACUUUUAUGAACUAAUUUGCAAA